CAGGUUAAAACUCAAAUGAAUUGACGGGGGCCCGCACAAGCGGUGGAGCAUGUGGUUUAAUUCGACGCAACGCUGAAGAACCCUUACACUGGCGCUUGACAUCCAGAGAACUUUCCAGAGAUGGAUUGGUGCCUUCGGGAACUCUGAUGACAGGUGCUGCAUGGCCGUCGUCAGCUCGUGUCGUGAGAUGUUGGGUUAGUCCGUACGAGCGCAACCCCUAUCCCUGGUUGCUAGCAGGUAAUGCUGAGAACUCCAGGGAGACUGCCGGUGACAAACCGGAGGAAGGUGGGGAUGACGUCAGGUCCAUGGCCCUUACGGCCAGGGCUACACACGUGCUACAAGCUGGCGCGUACAGAGGGCUGCCAAC
This 367-nucleotide ribosomal RNA is filed under the name uncultured bacterium. RNAcentral describes it as "bacterial SSU rRNA". It matches the Rfam family "Bacterial small subunit ribosomal RNA", at positions 890 to 1254 of the family's 1533-position model. The record is from RNAcentral.